CAGCACCUCAAGUGGUCAGGAUGAAUAUUGGGCCUAAAGCAUCCGUAGCCGGCGCUGUAAGUUUUCGGUUAAAUCUGUACGCUCAACGUACAGGCUGCCGGGAAUACUGCAGCGCUAGGGAGUGGGAGAGGUAGACGGUACUCGGUAGGAAGGGGUAAAAUCCUUUGAUCUAUUGAUGACCACCUGUGGCGAAGGCGGUCUACCAGAACACGUCCGACGGUGAGGGAUGAAAGCUGGGGGAGCAAACCGGAUUAGAGACCCGAGUAGUCC
This 270-nucleotide ribosomal RNA is filed under the name uncultured archaeon. RNAcentral's name for it is "partial 16S ribosomal RNA". It matches the Rfam family "Archaeal small subunit ribosomal RNA", at positions 477 to 747 of the family's 1478-position model. The record is from RNAcentral.